UUGCAACAUGAAUGCGCGUGCUCGCUGUCGUUGUUGAACGGCCCUGAAAGCGCUGCGUUAGGGGCGAGUGCAACCGAACAUUACGGCAAGUUACGAUGGGAACUUCUUUCCGUGCUACGUGAUUGCGACGACAAGAACGGCCAGCAGUAGCGUGUCGCCGAUUUCGUCUUGGCCGACAUCGAACAAGUAUAGCUCGCCGGACCGUGGCUAGCACCCGAAGUGUUGCGGUCUGCACUGCGUCGUCUUUCAUCGUGAUGUGAGAGAUCGUAACGCACAGAGACUGUCUGAUGCAUACGAAAGCCUACCAGCAGGGAGUGACAGUGCCAUUUUUCUCUUAACGUCUCAGGUAUUGAAGAAGCGGCAACAGCCACAGAAAGUAGCCAUAUUAUCCAGCACGUUCUGGGUAGAAUUUGGCGGCUCCUGCUCCUGCCUUCCACCACCACCCUGUCCCGACUGCUUCCACUAGAGAGUUGGCAACCUUAGUGAUGAUGCCAAGCAGUCCGAUGGCAGACGGCAAGAUGCAGGUUGCUGCGAAAUUUUACGCGAGCUGGGCCACACACUUGAGCCAGGCCUCUUGGAAAGGAUGCCAUAAUCAGACUCCACGCGUCGAUGUCAGAGGAUGCCAGGGAUCAAGGCAACCUGUUGUGCCCCACUGUUCAAUGUUUGGUGACCUUUCUAUGUGUUUCACCUAUUUCGCAGCUGUACCUCGGCUGCCAUCUAUCCAAACAGCAUCGCUAGCUGUGCCCACUUGUUGAACCAUAGGCAAAUAUUGGCAUGGAGUGUUCCCUGGGCUUCAUGUUCUAUUUGCUCUUCAGGAUUCUUGGCAAAUACUCCUGUUAUAAGUUACAUGUUUUUAGUACCGACUUUUAAUAUUUCCUUUCUCUUGGAAUUCUUAACAUCUCCUGCUAUUAUAUCUGUAUGUAUGCCCAGUUUCUCGUAGUUAUUUUGUACUUGUGUAUGUAAUUGAUAGGUUCUUAACUCUUGUAAUGCGUAAGGCUAAAACACUGACUUACAUCAUGUUUUGUUCAUUUAUUGAUCUGCAGCGCUGUAAAACGUUCAAGAAUUUUAACUCAACUAGUGCCCCAUAGCAGGAUAAAUUCAAGAGCAAAGUUGAGCACCUAUUUCAAGCACCCGUUAUUUUUUAAAAAGGAAAGAACGUAGGAGCAUGUAAAAAACAGUAUUAUAGUAGGAAAACCUGGCUGCCCAUCAUAAGUGUCUUAAUAAUGUGACUUCCUUUCAGUGCAAUGAUACCAGUGGCACUGGUGGACAACGUUUGAGACAUGAAACCCAGGAUACGCUUGGCAUUCGUCAGUAUGGCAAAUAGGCUUGCCACACUUACGAAUGCCAACGGUACUGUAGGUUUCAUGCACACAUUGGUUGUGUUACACCUUAUGAGAAUUGCAUGUCUCGAACAUGAAGGUUUGCAGCAGUGCUUUGAAUCACCACUAUAUUUCCUAAUUUUCAAUAUUUAUGAAUGCAAGAGUAAUGGUGCAGAUCAUGUAAAAAUUAUUUUACAGGCUAUAUGCCUAUAGAUACACGCUUCUGAUGACACAGCACCGACAUGUGGUGGUGGGAUGUAUGUCUUUAUUUCAGAUUUAAAUAUUGCCUUCCAGGCCUGGGUUAGUCUACUACAUUGAGAGCCCAUGCACUAGAGGGAAGUGAAUUAAACUAAGAAUUAUAAACUUCAAAAUAUCUUGUUCGUGGCACUAAUUUAACAAUCAGCAAGGUUCUUUCUGCAUUCAUUUCCAAAUUUGUGAUAUAUUUUAUAUGACUCGUUUCAUUAAUGUGAGAACAAAUAUUUGUUUAUUGUCAACAUAGUUGAUGUUGCCCAUUUGCACACCAUUCCUUAACAGGCUAAAAAUUCGAUGUAAUAAUGGGGUGUUUAAGGUUUUGCGCACUCAGUGUUAAGGGACACAAAUGGUGGCAUACAACAGAAUGCACGAAAGAACAAAAAAAUGCAAGUAGGACAUGGGGCUUUGGGGCAGAUGCUUUGGUGUGCUAUUUCUAAAACUCCCUGUGCUCUGCCUGAAUGCAUUGUCUAACGCUUUGGUAGAAUACAUUGGCAGCCACUUAUUCAGGUGAAAUGCUUCUCUAAACAACUUUUUAAAAUUAUUUCAGUGAGAGAUUUGAAAAAUCCUGCUGCAUAUAGUUUUAUAUGCAGAUUUUAAGUAUGUCAGUGGUUUUUGUGUAGCUGCUAUAUUUUUUUAGUUAGGUCCUACACAGUGGCAAAGUAUCUGCGGGCACUUUAAUGUAUAUAACAGUUUCACAAGAAUGAUCGUGCUGUAUCUUAUUCAGCUCGUAGACCGCAAAGUGCCGAUAUCUACCCAAACAGCAUGUAAAAUUACUGAAACUAUGCAAAAAAUAGGACACUUGAAAUAAUUUUGAAAGAUAUUGCAAUUUCAAGUAGAUAUUAGCAUUCUACAUACCUUAAGAGUAUGUAAGCCGAAUCUCGUUAGUAUCGGACAAAUGUAAGUGCACAAAGUUAUUUGCAUGGGAUUGUGAAAAAAUUAUUAAAGUGUACGGAGCUUUACUUGCAUAGUCCCACUAAGUUUACAUGUUUCGAUAGAUAUCGGCACUUUGUCAUCUACAAAGAGCUAAGUUAGCACAAUGGUUUUUGUGAAAAUUUAAUACAGAAGAAACUGACCGCAAAGAUCAUAUACAUUGUGCCAUUGUUUAAGACAUAACUGAAGAAAUGUAGCAGCUAAACAAAAAUAACAUAUAUGAAAUCAGCUUGAAGAACCCUCUAAUUGGCUUAAUUUUCAAACCUCUAGUACAAAAAAAUAAAAGAAAAUCAUUUUGAGUAGCAUUUCCCUUGAACACAAGAUUUAAUAAACAAAACGUGUCCCUUGCUAUAGUCGCCUUUAACAUAGUGACACAACUUCUAUAUAAUCACAUGAACUUUAGAUCACAAGAACUUUAUAUGAGUGACGUGCAAAUGCAUUUACUGAGAGUAAAUUACAGUCGUUACGUAAUCUGCUCUUAGGAUGACUUGUGAUGAGUAAAAGAAGCCUUCCUCAUGUCUCUACUUUCUGCAUGUGUCUUUCAGCUUUUUCUGUAUGUCUUUUACAGCUGCAUGUGUGCAGCUGAGUUCAGUUUAGUUACCACCUGGUCUGCUUCCUUCCUUGUCCUCAUGAUUCAUGCGCUAUCUUUGUCAUGCAAAAUACAGCUACCUGUGCUACAUAUUUUGCCAGCAUGAUUGAUUUAUGGCAAGUCUUGUAUUAGUGCGUAUUGCAAUCAGUGAAAUUGUUGGUGUCUUAAAAAACUUAGUCCUAGAAAACCAUGUUUAGGUCAACUUCAAUAAAAUGUUUAGCUUAAAUAUUGGUGUAUGUUUUUUGUAAUAUUGUCAGUUUUCAAGUUUGUAUCCACUGUUGCAGAUUGUAUGAAAGAAUAAAAUUGAUGCACAACUUUUUAAUAUGGUGUUUUUCAGAUCAAUUUUCAACUCAAGCUAAGAAACAUGCAUGAGUUGUGUGGGAAAAGUGCCAACAAGAGUACCAUAAGGUAAGACAGCUGUUUUUACUGUUAAAUUGGAUUAUCGAUUGCCAACCAGUUGCUGUCUUGAAUUUUGUACUGCAUAGAUUAUGUAAUCUAAGUUGGAAUAUUGUUUUUAUUGCACUUCAUUAUCUGGUUCUCCUUUUUGCAACAGUGUAGCCCUUUGUUAUAUUUCAUGUGUGCAUUAUUUGCAUAGGAGGUUACAUCCUAAGUUCUAAAUAAAAAUAUGUCUGAGGGAACAGUGAAAUAGGUUUAGCUUAAGAACCUUUCGACAAUAUAAAAUUAUGACUUGUGUUGGGGUGAAUCGAACUUUUGCAUGAGUGACAUACAAUUUUAUGGUGUCAUUAUGGUUCAGAGUGACAUUGCAGUGUCAUGCACAUACAGCUGCAAGGUGCAUAUUGGGUGUUUCUUUAAAACUGUUUCCUUGGUUGGCCAUUGAUUCCAGUUUAAUAGUAAAGAGAACUGUCUGGUGUUCAUGGUGAUUCUCUGCUGACUGAUACAUUUGACACUUCCAGAAGGCGGGAUCAAAUCCCGGCCACGGUGGCAGCAUUUCGAUGGAGGCGAAAUGCAAAAACGCCCAUGUGCUUGCGUCGUAGUGCACGUUAAAGAACCCCAGGUGGUCAAAAUUAAUCCGGAGCCCUCCACUACGGCGUGCCUCAUAAUCGGAACUGGUUUUGGCACAUAAAACCCCAAAA
Long non-coding RNA from Dermacentor silvarum, 4184 nucleotides. RefSeq lists it as uncharacterized. The transcript is spliced from 4 exons. Lineage: Eukaryota; Metazoa; Arthropoda; Arachnida; Ixodida; Ixodidae. The record is from RefSeq and is a predicted model, not a curated record.